This 246-nucleotide unclassified non-coding RNA is filed under the name fungal sp. RNAcentral describes it as "partial contains 5.8S ribosomal RNA, internal transcribed spacer 2, and large subunit ribosomal RNA". The record is from RNAcentral. Lineage: Eukaryota; Fungi.
CGCACAUUGCGCCCUUUGGUAUUCCGAGGGGCAUGCCUGUUCGAGCGUCAUUUCAACCCUCAAGCUUCUGCUUGGUGUUGGGUCCUCGUCCGCUGCGGACGGGCCCGAAACUCAUAGGCGGUGGCGCCCAGCUCCCAGCGUAGUCAAUUCUAUCCGCUACGGAGUCCUGGGUGUCGUCUGCCGGACGAACACACACACUUUCUAUGGUUUGACCUCGGAUCAGGUAGGGAUACCCGCUGAACUUAA